CGGGACACGUGGUAUCCUGUCUGAAUAUGGGGGGACCAUCCUCCAAGGCUAAAUACUCCUGACUGACCGAUAGUGAACCAGUACCGUGAGGGAAAGGCGAAAAGAACCCCGGCGAGGGGAGUGAAAAAGAACCUGAAACCGUGUACGUACAAGCAGUGGGAGCACGCUUAGGCGUGUGACUGCGUACCUUUUGUAUAAUGGGUCAGCGACUUAUAUUCUGUAGCAAGGUUAACCGAAUAGGGGAGCCGAAGGGAAACCGAGUCUUAACUGGGCGUUAAGUUGCAGGGUAUAGACCCGAAACCCGGUGAUCUAGCCAUGGGCAGGUUGAAGGUUGGGUAACACUAACUGGAGGACCGAACCGACUAAUGUUGAAAAAUUAGCGGAUGACUUGUGGCUGGGGGUGAAAGGCCAAUCAAACCGGGAGAUAGCUGGUUCUCCCCGAAAGCUAUUUAGGUAGCGCCUCGUGAAUUCAUCUCCGGGGGUAGAGCACUGUUUCGGCAAGGGGGUCAUCCCGACUUACCAACCCGAUGCAAACUGCGAAUACCGGAGAAUGUUAUCACGGGAGACACACGGCGGGUGCUAACGUCCGUCGUGAAGAGGGAAACAACCCAGACCGCCAGCUAAGGUCCCAAAGUCAUGGUUAAGUGGGAAACGAUGUGGGAAGGCCCAGACAGCCAGGAUGUUGGCUUAGAAGCAGCCAUCAUUUAAAGAAAGCGUAAUAGCUCACUGGUCGAGUCGGCCUGCGCGGAAGAUGUAACGGGGCUAAACCAUGCACCGAAGCUGCGGCAGCGACGCUGAUGCGUUGUUGGGUAGGGGAGCGUUCUGUAAGCCUGUGAAGGUGUGCUGUGAGGCAUGCUGGAGGUAUCAGAAGUGCGAAUGCUGACAUAAGUAACGAUAAAGCGGGUGAAAAGCCCGCUCGCCGGAAGACCAAGGGUUCCUGUCCAACGUUAAUCGGGGCAGGGUGAGUCGACCCCUAAGGCGAGGCCGAAAGGCGUAGUCGAUGGGAAACAGGUUAAUAUUCCUGUACUUGGUGUUACUGCGAAGGGGGGACGGAGAAGGCUAUGUUGGCCGGGCGACGGUUGUCCCGGUUUAAGCGUGUAGGCUGGUUUUCCAGGCAAAUCCGGAAAAUCAAGGCUGAGGCGUGAUGACGAGGCACUACGGUGCUGAAGCAACAAAUGCCCUGCUUCCAGGAAAAGCCUCUAAGCAUCAGGUAACAUCAAAUCGUACCCCAAACCGACACAGGUGGUCAGGUAGAGAAUACCAAGGCGCUUGAGAGAACUCGGGUGAAGGAACUAGGCAAAAUGGUGCCGUAACUUCGGGAGAAGGCACGCUGAUAUGUAGGUGAAGCGACUUGCUCGUGGAGCUGAAAUCAGUCGAAGAUACCAGCUGGCUGCAACUGUUUAUUAAAAACACAGCACUGUGCAAACACGAAAGUGGACGUAUACGGUGUGACGCCUGCCCGGUGCCGGAAGGUUAAUUGAUGGGGUCAGCGCAAGCGAAGCUCUUGAUCGAAGCCCCGGUAAACGGCGGCCGUAACUAUAACGGUCCUAAGGUAGCGAAAUUCCUUGUCGGGUAAGUUCCGACCUGCACGAAUGGCGUAAUGAUGGCCAGGCUGUCUCCACCCGAGACUCAGUGAAAUUGAACUCGCUGUGAAGAUGCAGUGUACCCGCGGCAAGACGGAAAGACCCCGUGAACCUUUACUAUAGCUUGACACUGAACAUUGAGCCUUGAUGUGUAGGAUAGGUGGGAGGCUUUGAAGUGUGGACGCCAGUCUGCAUGGAGCCGGCCUUGAAAUACCACCCUUUAAUGUUUGAUGUUCUAACGUUGACCCGUGAUCCGGGUUGCGGACAGUGUCUGGUGGGUAGUUUGACUGGGGCGGUCUCCUCCUAAAGAGUAACGGAGGAGCACGAAGGUUGGCUAAUCCUGGUCGGACAUCAGGAGGUUAGUGCAAUGGCAUAAGCCAGCUUGACUGCGAGCGUGACGGCGCGAGCAGGUGCGAAAGCAGGUCAUAGUGAUCCGGUGGUUCUGAAUGGAAGGGCCAUCGCUCAACGGAUAAAAGGUACUCCGGGGAUAACAGGCUGAUACCGCCCAAGAGUUCAUAUCGACGGCGGUGUUUGGCACCUCGAUGUCGGCUCAUCACAUCCUGGGGCUGAAGUAGGUCCCAAGGGUAUGGCUGUUCGCCAUUUAAAGUGGUACGCGAGCUGGGUUUAGAACGUCGUGAGACAGUUCGGUCCCUAUCUGCCGUGGGCGCUGGAGAACUGAGGGGGGCUGCUCCUAGUACGAGAGGACCGGAGUGGACGCAUCACUGGUGUUCGGGUUGUCAUGCCAAUGGCACUGCCCGGUAGCUAAAUGCGGAAGAGAUAAGUGCUGAAAGCAUCUAAGCACGAAACUUGCCCCGAGAUGAGUUCUCCCUGA
RNAcentral lists this ribosomal RNA (2415 nucleotides) under Escherichia coli. RNAcentral's name for it is "partial 23S ribosomal RNA". It matches the Rfam family "Bacterial large subunit ribosomal RNA", at positions 418 to 2818 of the family's 2925-position model. Lineage: Bacteria; Pseudomonadati; Pseudomonadota; Gammaproteobacteria; Enterobacterales; Enterobacteriaceae. The record is from RNAcentral.